AACGUGGGCGGGUGCUUACCAUGCAGUCGAACGGUGAAGCCAAGCUUGCUUGGUGGAUCAGUGGCGAACGGGUGAGUAACACGUGAGCAACCUGCCCUGGACUCUGGGAUAAGCGCUGGAAACGGCGUCUAAUACUGGAUAUGAGCUCCUUCCGCAUGGUGGGGGUUGGAAAGAUUUUUCGGUCUGGGAUGGGCUCGCGGCCUAUCAGCUUGUUGGUGAGGUAAUGGCUCACCAAGGCGUCGACGGGUAGCCGGCCUGAGAGGGUGACCGGCCACACUGGGACUGAGACACGGCCCAGACUCCUACGGGAGGCAGCAGUGGGGAAUAUUGCACAAUGGGCGGAAGCCUGAUGCAGCAACGCCGCGUGAGGGAUGACGGCCUUCGGGUUGUAAACCUCUUUUAGCAGGGAAGAAGCGAAAGUGACGGUACCUGCAGAAAAAGCGCCGGCUAACUACGUGCCAGCAGCCGCGGUAAUACGUAGGGCGCAAGCGUUAUCCGGAAUUAUUGGGCGUAAAGAGCUCGUAGGCGGUUUGUCGCGUCUGCUGUGAAAUCCCGAGGCUCAACCUCGGGCCUGCAGUGGGUACGGGCAGACUAGAGUGCGGUAGGGGAGAUUGGAAUUCCUGGUGUAGCGGUGGAAUGCGCAGAUAUCAGGAGGAACACCGAUGGCGAAGGCAGAUCUCUGGGCCGUAACUGACGCUGAGGAGCGAAAGGGUGGGGAGCAAACAGGCUUAGAUACCCUGGUAGUCCACCCGUAAACGUUGGGAACUAGUUGUGGGGACCAUUCCACGGUUUCCGUGACGCAGCUAACGCAUUAAGUUCCCCGCCUGGGGAGUACGGCCGCAAGGCUAAAACUCAAAGGAAUUGACGGGGACCCGCACAAGCGGCGGAGCAUGCGGAUUAAUUCGAUGCAACGCGAAGAACCUUACCAAGGCUUGACAUAUACGAGAACGGGCCAGAAAUGGUCAACUCUUUGGACACUCGUAAACAGGUGGUGCAUGGUUGUCGUCAGCUCGUGUCGUGAGAUGUUGGGUUAAGUCCCGCAACGAGCGCAACCCUCGUUCUAUGUUGCCAGCACGUAAUGGUGGGAACUCAUGGGAUACUGCCGGGGUCAACUCGGAGGAAGGUGGGGAUGACGUCAAAUCAUCAUGCCCCUUAUGUCUUGGGCUUCACGCAUGCUACAAUGGCCGGUACAAAGGGCUGCAAUACCGUAAGGUGGAGCGAAUCCCAAAAAGCCGGUCCCAGUUCGGAUUGAGGUCUGCAACUCGACCUCAUGAAGUCGGAGUCGCUAGUAAUCGCAGAUCAGCAACGCUGCGGUGAAUACGUUCCCGGGUCUUGUACACACCGCCCGUCAAGUCAUGAAAGUCGGUAACACCUGAAGCCGGUGGCCCAACCCUUGUGGAGGGAGCCGUCGAAGGCUGAUCGU
RNAcentral lists this ribosomal RNA (1423 nucleotides) under Microbacterium testaceum. RNAcentral's name for it is "bacterial SSU rRNA". It matches the Rfam family "Bacterial small subunit ribosomal RNA". The record is from RNAcentral. Lineage: Bacteria; Bacillati; Actinomycetota; Actinomycetes; Micrococcales; Microbacteriaceae.